RNAcentral lists this microRNA (21 nucleotides) under Medicago truncatula (barrel medic). RNAcentral's name for it is "mtr-miR1510a-3p". Lineage: Eukaryota; Viridiplantae; Streptophyta; Magnoliopsida; Fabales; Fabaceae. The record is from miRBase by way of RNAcentral.
CGGAGGAUUAGGUAAAACAAC